This is an RNA transcript of Choloepus didactylus (southern two-toed sloth), 3929 nucleotides long. It is a transcript of the gene named kynurenine 3-monooxygenase, with no coding region annotated. The transcript has 18 exons. Lineage: Eukaryota; Metazoa; Chordata; Mammalia; Pilosa; Megalonychidae. The record is from RefSeq and is a predicted model, not a curated record.
CCUUUUUUCUUAAGCUGAGCCAGUUCUACUUUGGGCUACUAAAGGGUUAAAGUUCAAGGGAAAUUAACCAGGACCAUACAGCUCCUGGCUCACAGACUCUGAGCUUUGGGCACUAUAAAAACAGGGAGAAAUCCUUGAGGAGGGUAGACAGUUUCCUAAGUGACAGAAGCAACAACAUUUAUGAAAAAACCUUCAGCGAUUAUGGAUUCAUCUGACCUUCAAAGGAAAAAAAUAGCUGUCAUUGGCGGUGGCUUGGUUGGAUCAUUAAAUGCCUGCUUCCUUGCAAAGAGAAAUUUCCAAGUUGAUGUAUAUGAAGCCAGGGAAGAUAUUCGACUGAGUAAAUUUGCACGUGGAAGAAGCAUCAACUUGGCCCUUUCUUACAGAGGACGACAAGCACUGAAAGCCAUUGGCCUGGAAGAGCAGAUUGUAUCCCAAGGUAUCCCCAUGAGAGCAAGAAUGAUUCAUUCUCUUUCAGGAAAAAAGACUGCAAUUCCCUAUGGGACAAGGUCUCAGUAUAUUCUUUCUAUAAGCAGAGAAGAUCUAAACAAGGAUUUAUUGACUGCUGUUGAGCAAUAUCCAAAUGUGAAGCUGCACUUUGGCCACAGGCUGUUGAAAUGUAGUCCUGAAGAAGGAGUGAUCACAGUGCUUGGAUCUGACAAAGUUCCUAGAGACGUCAGUUGUGACCUCAUUGUAGGAUGUGAUGGAGCCUAUUCAACGGUCAGAAAUCACCUCAUAAAGAAACCCCGCUUUAAUUACAGUCAGCAAUACAUUCCUCAUGGGUACAUGGAGUUGAAGAUUCCACCUAAGAAUGGAGAGUAUGCCAUGGAACCUAAUUAUCUCCAUAUUUGGCCUAGAAAUACCUUUAUGAUGAUUGCACUUCCUAAUACGAACAAAUCUUUCACGUGUACUUUGUUCAUGCCAUUUGAAGAUUUUGAAAAACUCUUAACUGGUAGGGAUGUGCUGGAUUUCUUCCAGAAGUACUUUCCAGAUGCCAUUCCUCUAAUGGGAGAGCAAGCCCUGAUGCAAGAUUUCUUUCUGUUGCCUGCCCAGCCCAUGGUAUCUGUAAAGUGCUCUUCUUUUCACUUGAAUUCACACUGUGUGCUGAUAGGAGAUGCAGCUCAUGCCAUAGUGCCCUUUUUUGGACAAGGAAUGAAUGCGGGCUUUGAAGACUGCUUGGUGCUUGAUGAGCUGAUGGAUAAAUUCAAUAAUGAUCUUAGUGCAUGCCUUCCUGAAUUCUCAAGAUUUAGAACUCCAGAUGCCCAUGCAAUUUCAGACCUAUCCAUCUACAAUUACCUAGAAAUGCGAGCACAUGUCAACUCGUGGUGGUUCAUGCUCCAAAAGAACAUAGAGAGAUUUCUUCAUGCCGUUAUGCCAUCUACCUUUAUCCCUCUCUAUACCAUGGUCACCUUUUCCAGAAUAAGAUACCAUGAAGCAGUGCUGCGGUGGCAUUGGCAGAAAAAGAUUUUCCGUAUGGAGAGGACCCUCUGGCUGCCAUGUGGAAAAUGGAUUGUGAGGAGUAAAACAUCUGUUAUUUGGAAACCCAGUGAAGAAACAGGAUAAUGGUGAUGAAGAACUGAACCAACUCAGUGGCAUGGGGGAAGGAGAGACGAGGAGGUUGGGAAGAGUGAUGGUCACAAGUACCGUGUAACCAGAGUCUGGAAGACAGUCGGAUGGAAGCACUUAUCAAGAAAAGAGAUAUUCUAAAUUCCAAUCCUCAUUCAGCUUUCACACAGAACGAAUGUGGCACUGCAGACAUGUGAGACAGGAAAGGCUAAUGGUCUCCAUAAGAGAGUGGGAAAGGGACUGAGAAUCAUGACUAAUCUAGUUACAAGAUGAGUAAGUUUGUGCUUGGAUGAGGACCCAGAUCUCUGACUACAGUGGAAAGCUUUAUCUGGAUUUUCCCUGGAGUCUCUGAUUGCUUAUCGUCACCAUCAAAGAUAAUGUCUUCUGGAUUUGGAGGUGGGGGGCAGAAUUCUUCACUUGGAAAGAUCUCAUGGAAAAGUGUCUCAGCUUGCUUGACUGCAUGCUCAUUUCCCAGACCACAGUCAGGCCCGGAGCAGAUAUAAACAUUGGAAGGUAAGCCAUUAUAUGAGCUUCUGCUAAUUCCAGAGGAAUCUCUCAUGUUAUAAUAAAGAGCCCACAAAAGUCCUGGCUUUGCAAGUUCUUCCUUAUCUAUUUCUGUUUCAUCAUAUGGAGUGAAUAAUUUCUUCACCACUGAUUCUAAGUCUUCUCUUGCUGUUUUAGAAGAUGGACAAGCCAGAUGUACCAGAUAAGUGUCUUUCAUGCAUGUCAUGGUUGAAGAACAUAACUCAGUGACCCGAACAGCACAACCUCCUGGUUCCACUGGAGGGACUAUCAAAAUGGAAAUCUGCUGAUCUGAAUCUGUCUUUAGUAUAGACUGAUCUGUAAUGAGCACUGCCCUGGAGAUCUGCUUAUACUGCACAUUUGAACAUGUUUCCUCAGAAAGGUAACUAUCCUCCACAAUAAAGUAUUUAGCAUUUAUUCUUUGACCAAAGUGAUCUAUAAUUGUUUUACAUCUUCCAGAAUCUUUGUCGACUACAAGGCAUUGUACUUUAUGGCGGAGACAAUAGAUUCCACCAAAAACUGCGCACAUUCUGCAGAAACACUGGGGAAUUUCUCCUUGGCCGUACAAGGGAAACAAAAAGGGGGUGUUGCCGAACCGUCCCAGACACUGAAGGAAGUUUUUUGUUGCUUUAAGGCCAUCUAAUGUAGUGCAAGAUGACUGUGAUGUCAUCGCAAUUGAGUGCAGUAUAAAAUGUUGGAGGUUGGGGGUUAACUUUUUAGUUUUUAAGUACUCUGAAAAUGAACAUUGCUCGAAAGCUUGAUAUUCAUCAGGAUGUUGUUCAUAGUCUAUACAAAAUGUAAGAAAUUUCAUUAGCAUCCUCUUUUCAACCAUUGUGAGUUCUUUGCUAUUAAAGACAUCUGCUCUGGAACAAGGCACCUGUUCUACUUUUCCUUCCCGAAAUGCAAGAAUCCUAGUAACAUUUUUAAAUUCUGCAUAUCGACUAACAUUUGAUUUGAUUAAAAGAUCAAUUAGCAAUCCUUGAGAAUACAGCAGCUUUGAUACCAAAUCAAUGUUAAACCUUCGGCCUUCUUUAACUAUUUGAGAGUAAGUAAUCCUAUUUCUCUUUAGUUGAUCAGUGUUGUCUUCCACUAUAGGUUUGCUUUCAUCUUUAUCUCCAUGUACAACUGUGUGAGAAAAAGUUUUAUCUCCACAAUCAUUUUCCUUCUCCAGAGUUUCCUCUACAUUAUUUACUUCUAGUGAAGUCUCUUUAUCACUUUCUGGAGUGUCUUUGGCAGGCAUUUCAUUGUUAGUAUUGCAAGAGUGCCUUUCUUUGGGCAAACAUGCAGAAUCCAGAGGUUCACCGAGGGUACUAGAUGCCACAGAGGAAGGAUUUUUCUGCAGAGCACCAAUCUCCUCGACAUUGUCAUCCAAAUCCUGACUGGCAUAACAAAAAACUUCUAUGUGUUGAAUGGUUGCAUCCUUCUUGCGAAGAGUAACAGCUUCUUCGGUUUCAUGGAUUAGGUCUUGCCAUGCAGCUGCUGUUUCUUCUCCAUCAUCACUGUUUUCCUGAUAGUCCUUCAACCAGGACAGCAAUCCUGAAAAGCUGAAACUAGCCCAGUUUCCUCCAUAGUAACCUCUUGAAUCAACGUGCAGAACUCUCUGACCACUCCUUGAACAUGCAGCUGCAAGGAUGGAUUCAGGCAAACCAGUCCCUACUAUAACCACAUCAAACUCUGUGGGGAGAUUGUCCGCCAUCCUGGGAGGUAAAGCACCUGGUGACAACUGCCAAUGAAGGAAACGUUUAUGAAUCUAGGCUGAGGGCUCAGCUGAGGUGCGAGUAUGUCGAAAUAAAAUCUCUCCUUGUGAUGAUUCAGUGUAUUGCAGAAGCAGAGGUUGCAGGUCC